GUACAAUGAAUUGCCCCGCUACGAAGGGGUUUGAAAC
Molecule: non-coding RNA, 37 nt
Filed under: Kouleothrix aurantiaca
Lineage: Bacteria; Bacillati; Chloroflexota; Chloroflexia; Chloroflexales; Roseiflexaceae
Source: RNAcentral